CUGAUAUCCCUAGUUGUUCUAGUGUCUUGAACAUAAAGGGGUGCUGUAUUUUGUCAGAUGCUUUUUCUGCAUCUAUUGAGAUGAUCAUAUGAUUCUUAUCUUUGUGUCUAUUGAUGUAAUAAAUUACAUUUAUUGAUUUGCAUAAGUGGAACCAACCCUGCCUCUCUAGGAUGAAUCCCACUUAAUCAUAUUGCACAAUCUUAGUAAGCUCUGUUUUCUAUUUUUAUCACUUGGUAUUGGUCUGUUUCAAUUGUGUAUGUCUUCCUGAUUCAAUCUGGGCAGAUCGUAUGACUUAAGAAAUUUGUUGAUAACUUCAAUGUCUUCUAUUCUCUGUUUUUCUGUCAUAUCUGUUGUAAUAUUAUCAUUUUCAUCAUGUAUAUGGGUAAUUUGAGUUCUCUCUCUCAUUCUCUUUUUUAGCAUGGCUAAUAGUCUGUCAAUUUUAUUUAUUUUUUCAAAGAACCAACUUUUUUUCUCCAUAUUUUCAACUGUUUCUUUGGUUUCAAUUUUAUUGAUUUCACCUCUAAUUUUAAUUAUUUUUUGCCUUCUACUGCUUUUGCUGCUGGUUUGUUCCUCUUUUUUUAGGGCUUUGAGUGGUAGUGUGAGGUCAUUUAUUUGUUAAUUUUUUUUUCUUUGAAGGAAUGAACUCUAUGCAAUGAAUUUUCCUCUUAGUACUGCUUUCAUAGUGUCUCAGAUUUCCAUCGGUUGUUUCUAUGUUCUUAUUUACCCCUAAGAAAUUGUUAAUCUCCUCCUUGAUUCCUUCUGCAAUGCAUUGUUCAUUCUGUAGCCUAAUGUUUAGUCUCGAG
This 803-nucleotide long non-coding RNA is filed under the name Marmota monax (woodchuck). The record is from RNAcentral. Lineage: Eukaryota; Metazoa; Chordata; Mammalia; Rodentia; Sciuridae.